This 465-nucleotide ribosomal RNA is filed under the name uncultured bacterium. RNAcentral's name for it is "partial 16S ribosomal RNA". It matches the Rfam family "Bacterial small subunit ribosomal RNA", at positions 338 to 795 of the family's 1533-position model. The record is from RNAcentral.
CCUACGGGGGGCAGCAGUGGGGAAUAUUGCGCAAUGGGCUAAAGCCUGACGCAGCGACGCCGCGUGAGGGAUGAAGGUCUUCGGAUCGUAAACCUCUGUCAGCAGGGAAGAACGGUCACUGUGCUAAUCAGCAGUGAAUUGACGGUACCUGCAAAGGAAGCACCGGCUAACUCCGUGCCAGCAGCCGCGGUAAUACGGAGGGUGCGAGCGUUAAUCGGAAUUACUGGGCGUAAAGCGCUCGUAGGCGGUAUGUCAAGUCAAGGGUGAAAUCCCCGCGCUCAACGUGGGAACUGCCUUUGAAACUGGCAAACUGGAGUGUGUGAAAGGAUAGUGGAAUUCCAGGUGUAGGAGGGAAAGCCGUAGAUAUCUGGAGGAACAUCAGUGGCGAAGGCGACUAUCUGGCACAUAACUGACGCUGAGGAGCGAAAGCGUGGGUAGCAAACAGGAUUAGAUACCCGUGUAGUC